AACUCAGUUGGCAGUGUUUGUGUCUUCACAUUACUGUUGUUACAGGCGCCCUGCAGCCCUUGUAAACAGUCUGUGAAGUCAGUGUGCUUGUGUCUGAAAUUGACUUCACGACAAUAAGCUGUUGGUUGUAAGCAUAAAUGAACUGUUUGCUCCAGUAUUAAUGUUGAGGCCCUGGGUAAGUGCAAGUGUAACUUCCGGCCCAUGUUACAAUGCUUCUGGCGCUGGCUGUUAGCAGUUCAUGGAGACUCCGUGAGUCCUGACCAGGGCUUUUGGUUGGUUUUAUUCACUGCACUGCAAGCAGUUCUUUCCUUUACCCUUGGUAGUCACUGUGUAAUAGGCAUCUGUUUUGUUGCCUUUAGAAAAUGCUGCUUUCUUCAACAUGGAGAAUGAUUUUCUUCAGUGGCCUUUCUAGCAUCGUUAUGUGCAAGCUUCUUUUUCCUUAAUCCUUCAUUAAGAUGAAAUAUGCAUAUGAUAACUGACUCUGGUACAACAUGACACUGUCCGUUCCAUCCACUUUCCACUCUUCUGACAAAUGAGAUCUCAUCUCGUGUCCCUUCCACGUGCUUUAUUCAUUCAUUUGUUGAUAGACAGGUAGACUGAUGCCAUCGUGUAGCUGUUCUGAGUAGUGUUCCAAUAAACACGAGUUUGCAGACUUCUCAGAUGACCAGAUUGUACUUCUGCGUUUGUGUUGGGUCUUGGCUCUUGUUAGUAUAGAAACUCUACUUUGAGAAUUAUUAUCUAAACCAUUUGUCUGGUUGUUCUUUAGAUAGAUUCCAGACCUCAGACCUAGUCAAAGGCAUCACUUGGUCCAUGGUACUUUUUUUUUUUACAACUUUGUAUUGGUUCUAAUUGAUUGAAUUUCACAUCAUGCACACCAAUCCACUCAUUCGCCCCUCCCCUCAUGCCCACCUUCCACCCUUGCAACCUCCCCUGCCAACAGAAAAAAAAAAAAUCUCGUUGUAGAAGAUGUAAUAUGCUGCAUCCCACAGUCCCACAAUAUACUCUUUUGUUUAUGUUUCUUGGCUUGCAAAUGUUCAUUGCAUUGAGUUCUUGGUCUGGUAUAAGGCUGCUACACUACCAAUACUGGAACUUCGCUGGGACUCUUCAUAUAUCCUGUUGUUGUCUUGUGCAAUGGAGAUCCUGUAGUUUUGGAUCUGUACGACCAACCCCUUCACUCUAGCAGCUCAUCUAUGGGGUACAUGUUGAAGUGUACCAAUUCAAAGCCAUGGAUCUGAGCCUGAGAGGUCUGAGCUGGUCAGCCCACCAGCCCUCCCACACUACCGGGAUAAGUUCUUCCCUGUGCCAGCUGACCCAUCCAAUGCUCCAGCAAAAGGCUGGUCAUCUUUGGCUAGCUCCCUGAGUCAUCUUGGGCUCUCUCCAGCCUGGGGCCAAUGGUCGAAGGCAGGGUUCUUCUAGUCUCCAGCUUGUUCCCUACCCUGGGAGCCUGUCAAGGCCUGCACAGUACCAGACUAGUGGUCAUCUCUGGCUAGCUCCCUUAGCUCCCUGUCCAGGGGACCUCCUGGCACUGGAUUAGUGGUGGACUCAGGCUUGCUUUUUUUUCAGGAGAGGUUAGAUUACUAAUCAUUCAGAUGUUCAUAAGUCAGAACACUGAGCAAAGCAAUAGCUUCUCCUCCACCUACUGACUCACACGUGCACAACAGCCACACCCGCAAUGCCUCUAGGAGCAGGUCCAGUGUACUUUUGUUUUAACUAUUUUUGGCUCUUUAUUAAUCAGCACAUAAAUACGCUUCGUUUCUCCUUUUCAAUAUGUAUGUGUGGUGCUGAGUAUCAAACUCAAAGCCUUGUGCGUGCCAUGCUAACACUGUACCAUGGAGCUAGACUUGUUGGCUUCUAUUAAAAUUCUUUAUUGUCUAGUCUCUUUGACUUGCUUUAGAAUAAAAUCCUUUCUUAGUUUUUCUUUUUUUUUUUCCUGCCUUAGUGUAUAUAAAAUACCUUUGUUGCUGUGAGAAAGUACCUUGACAAAAGCAACAAAAGGAAAUAUGAGUUUAUUUUGCUUCACAGUUCAAGAGUGCAGUCCAGAGCUUGAGGCAGCUGCUCACAUUGCAUCUACAAUGAAGAAGUGGACAAUGAUGAAUGCUUGUGCUCAGCUCACAUUAUCAUUUUUAUACAGUCCAGGGUCCCAGCAUAGGGAAUGGUGCCACCCAUAUUGGGUCCACUCAAGUUGGGUCUUCCCACUUUAAAAAACCUAUUCA
Molecule: long non-coding RNA, 2213 nt
Filed under: Rattus norvegicus (Norway rat)
Lineage: Eukaryota; Metazoa; Chordata; Mammalia; Rodentia; Muridae
Description: long non-coding RNA NONRATT022380
Source: RNAcentral